UACGUAGGGGGCAAGCGUUGUCCGGAUUUAUUGGGCGUAAAGAGCGUGUCGGCGGUUUGGUAGGUCCGCUGUGAAAACUCGAGGCUCAACCUCGAGACGCCGGUGGAAACCAUCAGGCUAGAGUCCGGAAGAGGAGAGUGGAAUUCCUGGUGUAGCGGUGAAAUGCGCAGAUAUCAGGAAGAACACCCGUGGCUAAGGCGGCUCUCUAGUACGUGACUGACGCUGAGACGCGAAAGCGUGGGGAGCGAACAGG
RNAcentral lists this ribosomal RNA (253 nucleotides) under uncultured bacterium. Its description in RNAcentral is "partial 16S ribosomal RNA". It matches the Rfam family "Bacterial small subunit ribosomal RNA", at positions 524 to 776 of the family's 1533-position model. The record is from RNAcentral.